GCGGCCAUAGAACCUUGAAAGCACCGCAUCCCGUCUGAUCUGCGAAGUUAAGCAAGGUAUCGCCUAGUCAGUACUGCGGUGGGGGACCAAUUGAAGAUUAUUAAGGCUGUACGCU
Molecule: ribosomal RNA, 115 nt
Organism: Ustilago hordei
Lineage: Eukaryota; Fungi; Basidiomycota; Ustilaginomycetes; Ustilaginales; Ustilaginaceae
Source: RefSeq, a predicted model, not a curated record